CCAAUAGCGUAUAUUAAAGUUGUUGCAGUUAAAAAGCUCGUAGUUGAAUUUCGGGAUCAGUACGUCGGUUGUGCCUUCGGUACGUGCUGGCGUCGCUGAUUUCUCCCUUCUGACGAACCGUGAUGCCAUUAAUUUGGUGUUGCGGGGAAUCAGGACUGUUACUUUGAAAAAAUUAGAGUGUUUAAAGCGGGCACGCGCUUGAAUACAUUAGCAUGGAAUAACGAAAUAGGACGUUCGAUCUUAUUUUGUUGGUUUCUAGGAUUGACGUAAUGAUUAAUAGGGAUAGUUGGGGGCAUUAGUAUUCAAUUGUCAGAGGUGAAAUUCUUGGAUUUAUUGAAGACUAACUACUGCGAAAGCAUUUGCCAAGGAUGUUUUCAUUAAUCAAGAACGAAAGUUAGGGGAUCGAAGACGAUCAGAUACCGUCGUAGUCUUAACCAUAAACUAUGCCGACUAGGGAUCGGAUGAUGUUAAUUUUAUAAUGACUCAUUCGGCGCCUUACG
Molecule: ribosomal RNA, 500 nt
Filed under: uncultured Glomeromycotina
Lineage: Eukaryota; Fungi; Glomeromycota
Description: partial small subunit ribosomal RNA
Rfam family: Eukaryotic small subunit ribosomal RNA
Source: RNAcentral